GGAACAGUGGUCCAGGGUGCAGAGCUCCAUCUACCUGCAGAUGGCCCCUUCCGUGCACCACCUCCUGGGAGGUCUGAGUGGCUGAGGCAGUGAUCCCCCCACCCAGCCCUCCAGGAGUCCGUGGUCCCGGAGCUCGGGCCCUGGGGUGGGGCUGCCUGCAGGCGUGUGACAAGGUGUGCUUCCCCAAGGAUGAUAAGAUCCAGGGAUGGGCAGAUAGCUGGCGCAGCCAGACUUUCAAAACAAGCAUAUACAGAAAAUGAACAUUGGCUUCUCCUGUCUCUCUUAAGCCCAGGGCUGUCUGUUUACAAAUGUGGUGUUUUCUUCUUCUCCCUUCUCAUGCCUGAAUCUGUUCAGGAAUGUCACAUUCCAGCCUUUCUGGGCCGACCACAUGUCACAGUGGCAGCCGUGGUAAUGCCGAGCAUCCUGGAAUGUGGCAUUUCUGAAUGAGUCAGGCAGGAGUACCAGGCGUUCAAGAAGCAAAACCUGCCUCACGCUCCUCUUCCGUCAGGGGACCCCAGGGCUCCAACCCUUCGGUGGGGGUAUUUAAGAUUCUCGAAGACCACAUGCAAUUUACUGUCCAAUUUGAAGGAAGGAUCGAUAUCUAACAAUGGCAUUGCAAUUCUCUUGGGCUCACGUGUCACCAAAGAAUCUCUGAUACAAUCUGUCAGGGAAGCCCAUUCAAAGAGCCUCCUUGGGCUGAUACUAACAGCCUAAGAUCCAAGCUCCUAGAGGACAGCCCUCUGGCCCAUUACACCGAAUUGUCUUGGCACUUUGCCAUGGGGGUUAAGACCAUGUGACUUGGAGUCAGACCAACCUAGGAUUCAAGACGAUCUCCACUACUUUGUUCUUGGGACCUUGCAUGGACUGGUCGAUUUCUCUACCCUCAUCCGCCCACGUGCUCAUCCAAUAAAGAGGCUGAAAACAGUGGGAGGGAAUAGAAGAAUAUUGAGUGUCAGACGUGUCCCUAACCCUGCCUCAGGAGGCAGGCGGCCAGGGAGGAAGGGGUUAAACUCAUGGCCCCACUCCAAGGGAGAAGCAAGCUGGGCUCCGGCAUCAUCUGCACUUGAACUCGAGUGUCUGCCCUUCCCCAUCACCAGCCUGGCUGAAUGUUGCCCAUGCUCUGGGUCUUAUCUUGGACUCCAUCUCCCCCAGGAUCCCCUCUGCCAGACUCCCCCAUCAGAGCACCCAUCACGCUGCCUUCUGACUGCCUGGCUCCUUGCUCAUCACUCAAGUGGACCUGAGGUCAGGACCAGAGAUCAGGACUCCAUACAUCUCAUUUUCUUCUGUGUUCCUAGCAGCUAGCUCAGUGCCUGGCACUUAAAAGGUGCCCGGAACUGUUCCUUAAAUAAAUAAAUGAAGGCAAAUAGGUUACUCUGACCC
RNAcentral lists this long non-coding RNA (1380 nucleotides) under Vulpes vulpes (red fox). Its description in RNAcentral is "lncRNA (ENSVVUG00000014515.1)". The record is from RNAcentral. Lineage: Eukaryota; Metazoa; Chordata; Mammalia; Carnivora; Canidae.